Molecule: ribosomal RNA, 506 nt
Filed under: uncultured microorganism
Description: bacterial SSU rRNA
Rfam family: Bacterial small subunit ribosomal RNA
Source: RNAcentral
GAGUUUGAUCGUGGCUCAGGAUGAACGCUGGCGGCGUGCCUAACACAUGCAAGUCGAACGGAUCCAUAUUGAAACCUAGUGAUGUAUGGAUUAGUGGCGGACGGGUGAGUAACGCGUGGAUAACCUGCCGUAUACAGGGGGAUAACACUUAGAAAUAGGUGCUAAUACCGCAUAAGCGCACGGUUCCGCAUGGAACAGUGUGAAAAACUCCGGUGGUAUACGAUGGAUCCGCGUCUGAUUAGCCAGUUGGCGGGGUAACGGCCCACCAAAGCGACGAUCAGUAGCCGGCCUGAGAGGGUGAACGGCCACAUUGGGACUGAGACACGGCCCAAAACUCCUACGGGAGGCAGCAGUGGGGAAUAUUGCACAAUGGGGGAAACCCUGAUGCAGCGACGCCGCGUGAGUGAAGAAGUAUCUCGGUACGUAAAGCUCUAUCAGGCAGGGAAGAAAAUGACGGUACCUGACUAAGAAGCCCCGGCUAACUACGUGCCAGCCGCCGCUGUAAC